This 248-nucleotide long non-coding RNA is filed under the name Nannospalax galili (Upper Galilee mountains blind mole rat). RNAcentral's name for it is "SMAD5 antisense RNA 1 conserved region 1 (ENSNGAG00000001922.1)". It matches the Rfam family "SMAD5 antisense RNA 1 conserved region 1". The record is from RNAcentral. Lineage: Eukaryota; Metazoa; Chordata; Mammalia; Rodentia; Spalacidae.
GGAAUGGAGGUCUUAUUCUAUCUAAGUACUCUGCUGGAGAAUUCCUGUAACCUGGACAUUUUCUUCCUUUCCCAUGACUGUCUGGGAAAGAAAGAUGCCUCUGAAGUGCUUCCAAGAUGUGGAUGCCUGUGAUAAUGUCACUCACUGAUUCCUUGUGUUGGGUGACACUGUCAAAUAGAUUUGCAUUCUUAAGAGUUUGAAUAGGUGUUCAGGAGUUGUUUAGGGAGCAUAUUCUGAGAUACAGCAAA